This 315-nucleotide long non-coding RNA is filed under the name Felis catus (domestic cat). RNAcentral's name for it is "lncRNA (ENSFCAG00000053810.1)". Lineage: Eukaryota; Metazoa; Chordata; Mammalia; Carnivora; Felidae. The record is from RNAcentral.
AGUAUAUUGAUUAUUGAUUAUUGAUUAUACUGUCAUAAAUUUUCUAGGUGUUUCACAAAUACCUUGUUUUGUUCUCACAACAAUCCCAUGAGGAACGCAUCACUGUUACUGUUUUAUGAAAGAGGACAAGUUUGCUUUGUGUCUGAUACAGGAAUCAGAUUUUCUGACAACACAGAAUAUCAGGAGUAUAGACCUUGGAAUAUACAUUUCCGCAUUAAAGAAGUGACCAUAUCACCUGAUAUUAUGGAUUUAAACAACAGUUGACAGCUCAACUUUUCAAAUAAAGUCCUUUAGAAAUGUGAACUGACUUAUUCA